AACGAACGCUGGCGGCAGGCCUAACACAUGCAAGUCGAGCGAGGACUUCGGUUCUAGCGGCGGACGGGUGAGUAACGCGUGGGAAUGUGCCCUUCUCUACGGAAUAGCUCUGGGAAACUGGGAGUAAUACCGUAUACGCCCUAUUGGGGAAAGAUUUAUCGGAGAAGGAUCAGCCCGCGUUGGAUUAGGUAGUUGGUGGGGUAAUGGCCUACCAAGCCGACGAUCCAUAGCUGGUUUGAGAGGAUGAUCAGCCACACUGGGACUGAGACACGGCCCAGACUCCUACGGAAGGCAGCAGUGGGGAAUCGUAGACAAUGGGGGCAACCCUGAUCUAGCCAUGCCGCGUAAGUGAUGAAGGCCUUAGGGUUGUAAAGCUCUUUCAGCUGGGAAGAUAAUGACGGUACCAGCAGAAGAAGCCCCGGCUAACUCCGUG
RNAcentral lists this ribosomal RNA (433 nucleotides) under uncultured bacterium. Its description in RNAcentral is "partial 16S ribosomal RNA". It matches the Rfam family "Bacterial small subunit ribosomal RNA", at positions 29 to 507 of the family's 1533-position model. The record is from RNAcentral.